UCGUGGCCCUUAUCCCUUAAGACCCUCAAUGCCAGGGUGAGGGGAUCCGCUUCAUUAGAGUCAGGAAACGGGCAGGUCACACGGUUCAUCCAUGGAGCAGGUUCGUUCAUGAAGGAGACUUUCCCAACCAUCCUACUUGGUUUAUUCUGCAUUCCUGACUGCCAGUGAGGACAAAGGUUUUUGUGUAUUAGACAUUUGUGCUUCUUCCUCUGCGAAUCACCUGUGUAGCCAGCUCUGUGUUCUAACAAACUAUUCCUACUUUUCUUACUGAUGGAGGCAACGUCACGUGGUGGUUUAGAGCCCCGAGGCAGACUGCUCGGGUUCAAAGCUUGGCUGUGGUGGUGGCCCCGGACAACAUGCAGAAGCCCCUACUUCUUCAUCAUUCCACCAGGGACAGCGGUGACUGCCUCCAGGCGUGUUCCAGUACGGUAACUUCCUUACCGAAGGCAGGCAAAACUGACACACCAUGAAGAUGGUUUUAAUCUUUAAAAUCCUACAACACGAAAGACACAAUCUGUUGCUGUGUGUGUGGCUGACCCGAAGGAACCCAGCAAGCAGAGGCAUCCACAGAGGAGAAAUUGGGAUUUCUGCAGUCGCUGAGCCACACCCCCAGCCUGGCUUCUUCCCUAGAAUUGUCUAAAAGAGGUGAAGUAGCCGUAUGCACCUUACAGGGGUGCUGUGAAACUUAGACGAAGUAAUAGCAGAGCUGGGGGCCCCAACAGAGGACCCCAGCUCAGUCCUGGGCACGCAGUAGGUGUUCAACAAACGUGAGCUGUCUACUCCUAACCUUGGCCCACCUCUACCCCCUCUCUCUCACACUCUACAGAAGACAAAGUUAAAAAUGGAAAGGUAGCACGUUCUGACAGUAAUCUACGGAAUGCCACGACUAAUCCCCACGAGUCAGUGACAGAUACAACGCGGCGCUGCUGCCCGCGUCCGGCCACCGUCCUGCAGCGAGGGCUGGGCGGGUCUCUCACCCAGGGUCUGGCUGCAGUGAGGGGUGGCUCCUGACACCUCCUUCACCCACCACCCACGCUGCCACCCCCCACCGGGCCCAAGGAAAACUGGCACGCGUGGCGGGAGAACCAGGCGACCAGGUUUUCACAAAAGCAGCUACACGCCAUCCCCGAAAUAAAGAGUGACGAGGAGUCACGGAGAAAACACGCUGCUGCGGCGACACACUUCAGUUGCCAUAAGAACAAAACAGCCUGUUAAAACACCCAGAAGGGUCCACUGAGGAAAAUUCGCUCAUCAUUUCCUACUUCUAUGUUUGGUUUAUUUCUAAAAUACAGUAAUAACUAAAUUGGCAAACUGAAUUUAAACUCAGCCAAGCAUACUUUCAUGCUGAGUUUGAAAGAAAAACAAACCCCUGCAGCUGACCAAAUUAGGGAUCCGAGCACACCUUCGACUUUCGCCCGCCUCUUCUACAGAGGAUCAGUCUCGGAUUCUGACCAAGAAAAAUGCAAAGACACUACGUAUGGAGCUUCCCAGACGGCAUCUGAAGCUCUGCCUGAUACGACUGUUGAGAGUUUGACAAAUAGGGCCGCACACACAAAUGGCUCAGCAUGACACGAUGCACACAAAGUUCAGCAGUAAGUGGGUUGAUGGUACUGAUUAUUA
Non-coding RNA from Microcebus murinus (gray mouse lemur), 1620 nucleotides. The record is from RefSeq and is a predicted model, not a curated record. NCBI's taxonomy places the organism in Eukaryota, Metazoa, Chordata, Mammalia, Primates, Cheirogaleidae.